AGUGCGAGGCGCCUCCAACUAAAGCUGGAAGAAAAAGAAAAAAAACAUACACACAGUCGGUUUGACUCUUUUUGUGCCUCUAAAGCCGACAUUUCUGCUUUGAGGAUUCAAAAUCUAACGAUAAUUGAGAUAUUGCUCGGGUAGUUUCAGUGUUUAAAUCACUUCUUAAAGUAGAGCAAAGACUCGGAGCUACAAGUGAAGUUCUUGUCGAUCCUGGUGGAGCCUCCUGCCAUGGUCCUGCUAGAUUGCCAUUACCAAUACUGUUGUUGCUGUGCACCUGUCUGUCUGUCUGUCUGUCUCUCGCUCUCUCUCUGUCUCUCGCUCUCUCUCUCACCCCAACUGGUUGAGACAGACGACCACCCACCUAGAGCCGAAGGAUCUGUCCUAGGUUUCUGCCUUUUAACAGGCAGUUUUUCCUUGCCCUUGUCGCCAAGUGCUUGCUCAUGGUGGAACUGUUGGGUCUCUGUAAAUAAUGUUAUAAAGAGUUCGGUCUAGACCUGCUCUAUUUGAAAAGUGUCCUGAUAUAACUUCUGUUAUGAAUUGGCGCUAUACAAAUAAAAUUGAAUUGAAUUGAAUUGAAUUGAAUUGAAUUAUAUUAACACUUUCAGCUAAUACCUUCAAAAUAAAAUAAUCCAAAGAGGAUUCACCAUUAGGAAUCCUAAUAUGCUGUCCAAGUAUGUAAAUUUAAACAUUUAUUGUUGGAUGUCUGUUCAAAUGCAACAGAGAGCUGUGUUGUACAUAAAAAAAGAAAUAAAACAAAUUACUAUCUUAAAGAAUAAUAAUGAUCAAACUAGAUAAUCUAAGUGUCCUCAACCUUGUUUUUGUCCUACGGCACCAGAAAAAAACAAAUAAAUGAAUCCUACUACAAGUAAACAAUGACACUUGGUGUAAUGGAUGCAACAUACUCAAAACCAGAUCCAGCCAACAUCAGAGCCACAGUGCCAGUUGUUCUAGUGUCACUCAAUAAAAGUAACAGCAGGUUGGAACUGAAGAUGUGUAAUGAUCUUUUAAUUUUACAUCCUAAAACCUGUUAAAUAUAACUGAACAAUAUUAGUGUGUGAAUACUGUGAAGAGGAUAUGGUGCUACUUUGUGUCCUCUGUCACACAAUGGAAAAAUAAUGAGAGGUGGGGGGCAGAUGGAUGCAGAGACCAAACAAAAAAGUUAUGUAUCAGUUAUAUCUCUGAUGCUGAAUAUCUAAUAUAAAGGGAAAUACUUCAACUAAUUUACAAAACCUCUAAAUAAAUUCUUUAUAGCCAACAGCUGAAUUGCAUUUUUGAGGAUAUUCUUUCCACUUUUUGUUGCAUUACUAUUUUCACCACUACAGGGGUACUAGUAUGAAACAUAGAAGAUAGAUUUGUCUGCCAACAAACAAAAGAAAGUUCAAUAAAAGUGCACUACAUGUCAUUCAUUACCACGUGCCCAAACUGCAAAAGGGUUUUCUCUACACCUGUGGGUGGCAAAACUGUUUCUGAAGUGCUGUUAGUUCCCUUCCUUAAAGUGUAAAACUGGUCUGACAAUGACCGAAUCUCUUGAGAAUCUGCUAAACGAGAACGAGCAUGCUUCCUCUUUCCACAUAUCAGAUACCGAGAGGUAUUUCACAUUUAAAAAACAAAAACAAAACAAGAGACAGAGUUUCGUUUAUUUUUUAUUUUCUAUAAAAGAGAUGAGUUUAUUCAAUGAUCAUAACAGACUGAAUCAGAGACCUCGAUAGACCACUCACAUACCAAACGAUAAUCGAGGAAAAUGUUUCAACAGAACCCCCAAAACAGAACAAAUGUAACACAAAAUAAAAUACCUGAAUAAAGCAAACUCUCGGCUGAGCUGCGGGUCAGCACAUUCUCUGUAGAACUCAUGGCACAUUAUGUCCAACAGUUAUUGUGAAAAGGAAAAAAAAAAAAAAAAAAAAGACUAAAAA
Long non-coding RNA from Dicentrarchus labrax (European seabass), 1916 nucleotides. RefSeq lists it as uncharacterized. Lineage: Eukaryota; Metazoa; Chordata; Actinopteri; Moronidae. The record is from RefSeq and is a predicted model, not a curated record. The transcript is spliced from 2 exons.